AAAUUCGGGUAACCGCUUCGGUUUUUAGGCCGGAGAGGAAAGUCCAUGCUCGCACGGACCUGGAAUGGCCGUAGUGAUCGUGCUUGGCGAAACGAUAAGCCAAGGCAGCCCAUAAGGCUGACGGCGGGUGGAACGCCUACGUCUAAGGAUAUGGCGGACACACCCUGAAAAGUGCCACAGUGACGGAGCUGUACAGGAAACUGUACAGGUGGAACGAGGUAAACCCCGCGAGUGAGAAACCCAAACUAUGGUAGGGGCACUUUCCCGAAGGAACCAAACGGAGGGAAGGACAGGCAUCAGCCUGUAGAUAGAUGGUUACCGCCCAUUGGUACGAGGUGCAAGCCGUUCGAGUACCCGGGAACAAAACAUGGCUUACAGAA
RNAcentral lists this RNase P RNA (380 nucleotides) under Planococcus maritimus. RNAcentral's name for it is "RNase P RNA component class B". It matches the Rfam family "Bacterial RNase P class B". Rfam says of the family: Ribonuclease P (RNase P) is a ubiquitous endoribonuclease, found in archaea, bacteria and eukarya as well as chloroplasts and mitochondria. Its best characterised activity is the generation of mature 5'-ends of tRNAs by cleaving the 5'-leader elements of precursor-tRNAs. RNAcentral also lists the same sequence under 1 other name. Lineage: Bacteria; Bacillati; Bacillota; Bacilli; Caryophanales; Caryophanaceae. The record is from RNAcentral.